This 222-nucleotide long non-coding RNA is filed under the name Gossypium barbadense (sea-island cotton). RNAcentral describes it as "long non-coding RNA (GBAR_LNC007160)". The record is from RNAcentral. Lineage: Eukaryota; Viridiplantae; Streptophyta; Magnoliopsida; Malvales; Malvaceae.
CAUCGUAUAAGCUUUGAUAAAGCUCACGAUACAUCACAAGGAUAGGCGUGAAUUACAUCCUUUUUGAAUUCUGUCUUGUGCCCGAUUCCUGUUUUUGAGUACUUUGCUGUUCGACCGCAGCUACUUUGGGUUGACCAACUAUGAUUGCCCUCGAGUUGGUACUAUUCAUGUUAUUCACCUCAUUGUCUUUUCUCCUUGGGCCGAUCUUUUAGCCGUUUCCCC